This 22-nucleotide microRNA is filed under the name Homo sapiens (human). Its description in RNAcentral is "hsa-miR-4695-5p". The record is from miRBase by way of RNAcentral. Lineage: Eukaryota; Metazoa; Chordata; Mammalia; Primates; Hominidae.
CAGGAGGCAGUGGGCGAGCAGG